RNAcentral lists this long non-coding RNA (202 nucleotides) under Phaseolus vulgaris (common bean). Its description in RNAcentral is "long non-coding RNA (PVUL_LNC000545)". The record is from RNAcentral. Lineage: Eukaryota; Viridiplantae; Streptophyta; Magnoliopsida; Fabales; Fabaceae.
GGAUACUUAAUAUGAGAUCUUCAACAAAAUAAAGUAGAAAAUUACUAAGGGAUACCUAAUAUGAGAUCUUCAACAAAAUAAAGUAAGAAAUUGCUAAUCGUAUGGAUUGCUAAUCUUAAUUGUCAUGCUUUUGCGAUUUCUUCCUCACCCUUGAGCUUUUCCACGAAAUUGCAGCAAUGUAGUUUACCAAUGAAACUUCCCU